Molecule: ribosomal RNA, 500 nt
Filed under: uncultured bacterium
Lineage: Bacteria
Description: partial 16S ribosomal RNA
Rfam family: Bacterial small subunit ribosomal RNA
Source: RNAcentral
AUUGAACGCUGGCGGAAUGCUUUACACAUGCAAGUCGAACGGCAGCACGGACUUCGGUCUGGUGGCGAGUGGCGAACGGGUGAGUAAUGUAUCGGAACGUGCCCAGUCGUGGGGGAUAACGUAGUGAAAAUUACGCUAAUACCGCAUACGAUCUAUGGAUGAAAGCGGGGGAUCGCAAGACCUCGCGCGAUUGGAGCGGCCGAUAUCAGAUUAGGUAGUUGGUGGGGUAAAGGCCCACCAAGCCAACGAUCUGUAGCUGGUCUGAGAGGACGACCAGCCAACCGGGAACUGGGACACGGUACAGACGCCUACGGGAGGCAGCAGUGGGGAAGUUUGGACAAUGGGCGAAAGCCUGAUCCAGCCAUUCCGCGUGCAGGAUGAAGGCCCUCGGGUUGUAAACUGCUUUUGUACAGAACGAAAAGGUUUCUACUAAUACUAGGAGCUCAUGACGGUACUGUAAGAAUAAGCACCGGCUAACUACGUGCCAGCAGCCGCCGUAA